Molecule: non-coding RNA, 671 nt
Organism: Durio zibethinus
Lineage: Eukaryota; Viridiplantae; Streptophyta; Magnoliopsida; Malvales; Malvaceae
Source: RefSeq, a predicted model, not a curated record
AAAAAGUUAAUUGACAUUGAGGCAUUGGGGCUUUCACGUUUAUCAGUGAUUCUGCUUGAUAUUCACACGGAUGUUAAGGGCUAUUCCUUGCUUACACUUCCCCAAGUCAGAGAUGAGUUCUGGGACUUGUAUAAGAACUACUUUCACCAGCAAGUAGUGCAAGGUGAUCUGCGGGUCUGUCUUUAUGGUCCGAUACCAAAUGGCAAUGAAUUUAAGGGCAAAAGUUUAGAAUUGGCUGAUGGAUAGAGAACAGUCUGGAUUCAUAAAAAAUUUUGAUCUGUGUUGUGCGUGUAUCCUGCAUUUUUGUUUUAAAAAGGUUAAGUUACAUAAUUUUCUUGUCAUCCUUUGCUUAUCCAAUCUCCAUGGUUGCACUCUCAUGGAUUUCACUUUAGUAGUCAGUUAGAUCCAUUUUCAUGGUCUCUAACAAUAAAUCAUAAUCCAAGAGAAUCUAGAUCGAGAAGUCAACUGCACCUACUACCAUCUUCAAUGGAAUCACCACCAAAGUCAUCUAGAAGUUGACCUAUGUGACCAUUGGUUCAGGCCAUGCUGUAAGUCUCUUUUUCUUCAAAAUUAAUGUUAAGGGGAGAGAUUCAUGUGCUUCUUUGUCAAUUGCAGUCUUUUGAGUUUCAAUGACCAUUAUAUGUUGAAUGAAGUGUUUUGCAGUGUAUAAA